Molecule: unclassified non-coding RNA, 221 nt
Filed under: plant metagenome
Description: partial contains small subunit ribosomal RNA, internal transcribed spacer 1, and 5.8S ribosomal RNA
Source: RNAcentral
UUUCCGUAGGUGAACCUGCGGAAGGAUCAUUAAAAUACGCUCUUGCAUUGGACUUCAGUCCUAAGCAUUCGUUAACCAUUGUGAAAACACCUGUUGCUUUGGCGGCAUGCGCUCGCGCUGUCAGCCCGUCCGAGGCUCAACCAAAACUAUUUCUGUAAAUUUCUUGUCAGAAACGAAAAAGUAAAUCGUUAAAACUUUCAACAACGGAUCUCUUGGUUCUC